Long non-coding RNA from Nymphaea colorata (pocket water lily), 2968 nucleotides. RefSeq lists it as uncharacterized. The transcript has 7 exons. Lineage: Eukaryota; Viridiplantae; Streptophyta; Magnoliopsida; Nymphaeales; Nymphaeaceae. The record is from RefSeq and is a predicted model, not a curated record.
UCAAUAUAACAAGAUCAGGAACCAGCGACGGACUAGAGGCCGUUGGCAACCCAUGGGCAAUCUAGACGACUCGGGCCGUUGGGUUUAGCAACCUGCCUUCGAUGGCUCGAUCGCUCUCAUUUUCUCAGUAACUAGACGGAUUCUCCGAUGGGAGCUCCGUCUCUUUGUCUUUCGAGGUCGGUGCGCUCGGUGUGGAUGUUAGCUUCCCUCUCUCCUCCCCUGUCCGGUGCGAUCCGCUGGCCGCCUCCCGUUCGUCGGCUUCAUCGCCGACAUCUCCUGCUGCUUGCCCCAUCCCUCUCGUUCACCCUCUUUCCCACUUUUCUCUCUGCUUCCCCACCAUUCCCCUGCUGACCCUCUCCGCUCGCACAACUUUUUCCUCACGAGACAACUGUUCAGAUUAGUGGAAAGUGGAAACGCAAUCUCGUUUGGACUUUUUCCCUCUCCUGCUGGGCAUCACUGGCUACCAGAGGAAUUCGACAGAGCGAGGAUGAGCAGGGGAAAUUUGACGCUGGUCCAAAACCUACUGCGUUGAAAUCUUUUUCUCCUCCAUCGCUGGUCCACAUAAUCUGGUAAGAAGAUGGCAGAUGCCUACUGGAACGCGGGUGAAGUUCCCGGCACGCCUGUUGAGAAGAGGCCAAGACCCACAUAUGAUAUGCUUGCUCAUCGGAAAUCCUAGGAUGGAUCUCCUUUUCCUUCGCUGGAUUUUUUUUUUCUCUAUCUUCCUGCAGUUUUGUAGCUAUUUAAUUGUUUGUUUGCUUUCGCUUUGCUUAUUAAACAUAGGAAUACAUUGAUUUGUUUAUAGGCUGCUGCUUGUGUAGAUUAUGCUUUCUGGUUAUAUGGUUAUUUGCUGUAACGGAUGGUUUUGAAUGUGUGGAGACAUGAUACAAUUUCUGAUGCUUGAUUAAAAUUUUUGUGGUGAUCCACAGGUUUUUCUGAUGAUUCACAGGUUUUUGGCGUCAUAGGUAGCGGAUGGCAGACAAGUGCAUGUUACAAGGGAAGAAAGAGAUUUCAUGGUGGCUAGAGUGCAAACAGAUAGACAGGCUGGUUUUUUUGUUACACCUCCAUAACCAGGAGCAUAAAGUAAGGCAGCAUGGAUCAAGAUUCAAGUACAGUUGCAGAGCCAAGUUGUUAAGUGCAGCAAUCUUGCACUUUAGUAGGUUCUUCUUGCCUGCUCAUUUUGCUUUAAAGCUAUUUGCAUCAAAGAACCAUUAGGCAAUCUGCAAAUAGAAUGCCAAGACGUUGAACUGCAGUCAGCAUACAAUCUUGCGCCUAAAAGAGGAGAAAGAUAAAUGUUCGAAUUCUUACAAACGUGAUUAAUCAAAUUUUCGACAUCUCAAGCUUGUCUCAGAUAUCGCAGGAAUCAGUGGCUGCGUGAUGACCAUUUUAGAGAAACUAUAGGCAUAAGAUUUGAGGUAUAGACUAACAAUGCUGAAGAGACAGAUUUGAAGGUUGCAGCUUUGCUAAGGCAUCAGGAACCUACAAAAGGGUGGCCGUUAUCACUCACACUCAAGAAGCUAAUAUACCCGGUGGUUGCUGCCAAGGAUGGAAAGCAAUCCUUGACAUCAUCUUCACAUGGAAGGCAAGGCAAAGCAUCUGUUUCUCUCAAAAGCUGAUAUUCAUGUUGAAGUUGGGCGCCAUUAAUGGGUCGUACGUCCUCCUGUCAUUUUAUCAUCCAUUUCCAAGUCAUUCCUUUGCUUUUCAAGGAUCUUCAACAGUAGAGCAAGCCAGUGGAGCUUUUUGCUGCCAUAUACAUUAACUGUCAUCACAUGCGUGAAUCUGAAUGACGUUGGGGUACUUCUAUUUUUUCUACCUGAUAUAUCGUUCCAAUUUAUUGGAUGUCUCCAAGGAGGCUUUUUCUACCUGCUCUAGCUUCAUGUGUUGAAACUUCAACGUGUAAAAUCUUCACCAUCUUGUCUUGGUGGGCACAGUUAAUCUUCGUGAGUGCUACGAAGAAUUUCUUGGUUUAUCAACCUGCCUCAGUAUCAGCUCAUCCAAGCACCACACACUUAUCAUAUGGAAAAGAAAAAGAGACCAUAUCGUGGCAUAAACAUCUUCAAAGUAAGACCUGGGGUAUGUGUUUGGAUCAGAUUUGCUUCUGCUUAAUCAGAAGCAUUUUCAGUAGAUUGUAUUCCACUCAAUUUUCUUUGCUGGAUGCAACUUAUCUAAAAGCUAAAUGCUUUUGCACCCAUUUACAUGAGAAAUAAAGAAAAAAAGACAAGUCUUUUUUGUCCCAAAAUCCUAUUUCCAAUUUCAUGGCAUACGCUUGCAUUUUGUAUGCCAGUUUGACUUUCAAAAUAUCCAUUGAUCUGCAACCGCUAUUCACAGGGAACACAAUGCAGGUAUUGGCAUAUGAUUAUGCAAAUGUUUAAUAGGUUGCUGUUUCUUAUGCUUUUGAGUCUUGAUGAAUCUAUUGCUGGAAUUAUGAUGAAGUCAUACCUGUGCAAUUCAUUUGUGCUAAGUGUGCUCAAGCAAUAUUCCAGGAACCAAUGAGAGAGAGAGAGGCAAAGCUGUUUGAUGGUCCAUAGCAGUUGAUAGAUUGAACUGUAAAUAUAAUAGGUUAGCGGUGAACACCAUAAUAUUGUUACAAUUGUGAAAUAUGACUCCACGCUUUUCAUCUUUGAAAUUUCUAUUUUCAUGGUUGAAAAUUUUCUUUGAUCAGAGAACAAAAGCCUUUUGUAGUGGGGAUCAAGCAUUGAGGGUGUCAGAUUUAUAUGAUGCUGAUAGCCUGAUAAGGAUAAUUUUGGUCCUUUUAAUGUCUUGGAUCUGCAGGUGAGUCUAUCAUGCUUAUUGAUAUAAAUUUAUGACGUGAAUCUUCUGGUUUUCUGCAGCUUGUUCGUUUAUGGAUUGAUGUACAAACUAUAGAGUGGGGUUAUAACGAGGCUUAACAAUUGGCUGAUUUAUGUUUGCUUUUUUUUCCCUCUUCUGUAAGACUGAAUUUGCGUUUACAUACUUUUUCCUUUUUUUUUUC